This 324-nucleotide long non-coding RNA is filed under the name Elaeis guineensis (African oil palm). RNAcentral's name for it is "long non-coding RNA (EGUI_LNC046999)". The record is from RNAcentral. Lineage: Eukaryota; Viridiplantae; Streptophyta; Magnoliopsida; Arecales; Arecaceae.
GCCCCUAAUGGUUCUUUUGACACCAUUAAUAAAAACCAUAUUUAUUUAAAUCAAAAAUUUAUUAUGAUUCUGAAAUUACAUUUUUAUCCCUACUAAGAUUAACGGAUCUUGCUGGGAAACCUGACCUAUUCAUCAUCUGAUCAUGAUUUCCUUCUUCCCCUGUAAGGCGAUACUCUAUUUCCAUGAUCCCUCAAAUACCAAUUUUUUCCUAAUCUUCAUCAAUUCAAUUCUCCACCACCGACAGUCCGUCUCCAUCUCUUCCCUUCACCGACCCUCUUCUUAUUGCUCAUCAUUCGAGUCCCUCUCAUUAUUGAUCCCUUCUCA